UACGUAGGGGGCUAGCGUUGUCCGGAUUUAUUGGGCGUAAAGAGCGUGUAGGCGGCCAGGUAGGUCUGCUGUGAAAACUCGAGGCUCAACCUCGAGACGUCGGCGGAAACCAUCUGGCUAGAGUCCGGAAGAGGAGGGUGGAAUUCAUGGUGUAGCAGUGAAAUGCGUAGAUAUCAUUUGGAACGCCAAUGGUGAAAACAGGUAGCUGGGGAUGUGCUGACGCUGAGACACGAAAGCCAGGGGAGCAAACGGG
RNAcentral lists this ribosomal RNA (253 nucleotides) under uncultured bacterium. RNAcentral describes it as "partial 16S ribosomal RNA". It matches the Rfam family "Bacterial small subunit ribosomal RNA", at positions 524 to 776 of the family's 1533-position model. The record is from RNAcentral.